UGGGGAAUUUUGGACAAUGGACGCAAGUCUGAUUCAGCCAUGCCGCGUGCGGGAAGAAGGCCUUCGGGUUGUAAACCGCUUUUGUCAGGGAAGAAACGAGUUUCUCUAAUACAGAGACUUAAUGACGGUACCUGAAGAAUAAGCACCGGCUAACUACGUGCCAGCAGCCGCGGUAAUACGUAGGGUGCGAGCGUUAAUCGGAAUUACUGGGCGUAAAGCGUGCGCAGGCGGUUAUAUAAGACAGAUGUGAAAUCCCCGGGCUCAACCUGGGACCUGCAUUUGUGACUGCAUAGCUAGAGUACGGUAGAGGGGGAUGGAAUUCCGCGUGUAGCAGUGAAAUGCGUAGAUAUGCGGAGGAACACCGAUGGCGAAGGCAAUCCCCUGGACCUGUACUGACGCUCAUGCACGAAAGCGUGGGGAGCAAACA
RNAcentral lists this ribosomal RNA (427 nucleotides) under uncultured bacterium. RNAcentral describes it as "bacterial SSU rRNA". It matches the Rfam family "Bacterial small subunit ribosomal RNA", at positions 355 to 774 of the family's 1533-position model. The record is from RNAcentral.